RNAcentral lists this ribosomal RNA (253 nucleotides) under uncultured bacterium. RNAcentral's name for it is "partial 16S ribosomal RNA". It matches the Rfam family "Bacterial small subunit ribosomal RNA", at positions 524 to 776 of the family's 1533-position model. The record is from RNAcentral.
UACAGAGGUCUCAAGCGUUGUUCGGAUUCAUUGGGCGUGAAGGGUGCGUAGGCGGUUUGUCGCGUCGGGAGUGAAAUCCACUGGCUUAACUGGUGGCUUGCUUUCGAUACGGGCAGACUGGAGGUAUGCAGGGGAGAACGGAAUUCCUGGUGUAGCGGUGAAAUGCGCAGAUAUCAGGAGGUACACCGGUGGCGAAGGCGGUUCUCUGGGCAUGUCCUGACGCUGAGGAGCGAAAGUGUGGGGAGCGAACAGG